This 69-nucleotide transfer RNA is filed under the name Brachydistomum sp. PakPr2. RNAcentral's name for it is "tRNA-Asp". Lineage: Eukaryota; Metazoa; Platyhelminthes; Trematoda; Plagiorchiida; Dicrocoeliidae. The record is from RNAcentral.
UCAUCCUUAGUUUAUUUGAAUUAUAGCUUGUCAGGUUGUCGGAAUAAUCAAUUUAGGUUGUAGGGUGAG